RNAcentral lists this ribosomal RNA (491 nucleotides) under uncultured bacterium. Its description in RNAcentral is "partial 16S ribosomal RNA". It matches the Rfam family "Bacterial small subunit ribosomal RNA", at positions 29 to 507 of the family's 1533-position model. The record is from RNAcentral.
AGUGAACGCUGGCGGUAGGCCUAACACAUGCAAGUCGAACGGCAGCACAGUAAGAGCUUGCUCUUACGGGUGGCGAGUGGCGGACGGGUGAGGAAUACAUCGGAAUCUACUUUUUCGUGGGGGAUAACGUAGGGAAACUUACGCUAAUACCGCAUACGACCUACGGGUGAAAGCAGGGGAUCUUCGGACCUUGCGCGAUUGAAUGAGCCGAUGUCGGAUUAGCUAGUUGGCGGGGUAAAGGCCCACCAAGGCGACGAUCCGUAGCUGGUCUGAGAGGAUGACAGGCCAAACUGAAACGGAGAAAGGUCCCAGACCCCUACGGAAGGCAGAGUGGGGAAUAAUUGACAAAUGGGGGAAACCCUGUCCCAGCCAUACGGGGUGGUGGAGAAAGGCUUUGGGGUUGUAAAGCCCUUUUGUGGGAAAGAAAAGCCGCCGGGUAAAACCCCGGUUGUCCUACGGUUACCAAAAGAUUAGGAACGGCCAAACUUGUU